Molecule: long non-coding RNA, 1612 nt
Organism: Sinocyclocheilus anshuiensis
Lineage: Eukaryota; Metazoa; Chordata; Actinopteri; Cypriniformes; Cyprinidae
Source: Ensembl
ACGGGGACUAGAUCGCCUCUUAGUUUGGCCCCGAUUGGGAAGUUUAGCCUCUCUGGUCUCUUUGAUUCGUGGAAGCGUUGGAUCCUUGGAGUGUGUUCGGGGACAGUUGCUUUUCCCCAGCUGUUUGGCUUUGGUUUUGGUUCUCUGUGUGAUUUCCAGGGAAGCUCGGGGCAAUGUUUCUCCUUCUACAGCAGGAAACAGAAGUUGUAGCUGAAACUUGCCUCGGGGUUUGGUAGAUCAUCCAGCAAAUCCACUGCUGUAUUUUGGUCCUUUCCUCUGGACUUUGUGUCGAACUGGUGUCAGACUAUCUGUCUUUCCUUUUUGAAUGCAUAUUGUAGAGCACAUUUUACAUGCCCGCUGAGUUUCCCUUUGUGACUCACACUACAGACGAGAUGGCUUUGAACCUAUUGGAAAUGACUAGUGCUGGAUCUGGAACAAGCAAACAGACACUCAUGAGAUUUUUAUGACGGCGGGGCAUCGGGCAUGACAGCACGGCUGUUGAAUCAACGAGUGCGACUGAUUGACAGCGAACGGGAAGAGCAUCCCGUCUCCUGCUGUCACUGUGUAUCAAUCACUGUCUGCUGUGAAGUUCAUCCCUUUUCAGGUAGUAAGUAUUGGCUCAAAGAGUACAUGAACCAACAAAAAGCCCCUUCUCCCCAGUAGCCCCUCACUGCAGAACACAAGAUCCAGGGGGCGUGGUUGGAUCCACAUCUAGGGGCUUGAGAUUGGUAAGUUUAGGGGUGGAGAUGGGUGGGUUUAGGAAUCAGGGGGUGGAGACGGGUAGGUUUAAGUAUAUGUAAGGUGGGAGGAGUUGGAUCUGGAUCCAACCACUCCCCCUGGAUCUUGUGUUCUGCAGUGAGGACCAUCUCCUUCUCCCCCUUCUGGAGAAGAACACACAAAUGAUCACAAUGAACUAUAAAUCUGGAAAAUCAAAUCAGAAUAAAUAGAUGCAGUUCUCUCUAUUCCAACGACAAAAAAACAAACACUCAAAAUGAUUGACAGCUUGAGAGCGUUUCUGAUUGGUCAACAAUCAAAAACACUCAACUUGUAAUUCCAUAAGAAAGCACUUAUGGCACUUUCAAGGAACAGAUAAAUGAAAAUAGGACAUAAUGACAAAAUUUUGAUUUGGGGUGAAUUAUUGUUUAAAGGACAUUUUUGAGUCUGAAGGACUUUUUAAAUUCUUUCCAUGGACUAUAAAUCUGAAAUAUCAAAGCGAGCAGCCUUUAAGUCCAUUAAUCUUGAUUAAAAAGACAAUAAAUAAAGGCUCCUCGUCAAGCGAAUUAUGUGCCUCUAAACAAGUUAAACCAGAGGACCGGAAGAGAAGAGGCUUAGAGUUGGUUGGAAACCGUCUUUGUUGAUUAGUGAUGUCACGUCCUGCUAUCAAAGAGUUCACAGGAACCAGAAGCACUUCCUGCGGCUCUUCUUGACCGUCUGGAGGGCCUGUGGAGAGUCCUGCUGGCGCGGAGGAGGAAAGACCAGCUGAGGAGAGCUCUGCUCUGACUCCUGCUGCUCCGGGACCUUCCACGCUCGCGUCACCUGACCCUCCUGAAGCCGGAAGUCAUGCUCCACACUGAAAGAGAGAGAUGCUUACAGCUAUUACUGAGGCAAAAAA